This 502-nucleotide small RNA is filed under the name Pongo abelii (Sumatran orangutan). RNAcentral describes it as "processed transcript". The record is from RNAcentral. Lineage: Eukaryota; Metazoa; Chordata; Mammalia; Primates; Hominidae.
GAAGUGAUCCCCCGAAGAGACCUCCAGACUCUACCAUGAGUGUCUCCAGCUGAACUCAUCAUGUCUAAUCCUCACCCUAGCUUAUCCUGUUCAAAUCGUUUCCAUCUUUUUCUGGAUGAACCUGGGCGGAUGUCAGACCAGAGAAGAGCACAGAAUGUACCAGAGAGAGUGAGACUCCGUCUCCAAAAAAAAAAAAAAAAAAAAAAAAUAUAUAUAUAUAUAUAUAUAUAUAUAUAAGGUGAAGGCCAAGCAGGGUGGCACAUACCUGUUGUCUCACCUACUCAAAAGGCUGAGACCAGAGAAGGAUUGCUGGAAGUGAGUUCAAAGCCAGCCUAGAGAAUAUAUUGAGACUCUGUCUCUAAAUUUUAUAUAUAUAUGGUGAAUUCACCUUUACCAUAUCUUUUAUGUACAAGCAAUGGGAUUGAUUAGCAAGUAAUGGGACUCUGAAAUCAAAGGGGUAAAUUUGAGUAGAUCUUUAUAAAUAUAAUAACCUUGAACCCCA